UGAAAGUGCAAUUGUAAAUGUUGGGGAUACUAGUGGUCUUCUUGUUGGAAUGAGUGUCGCUGAAUAUGAACCAAGUGACUUUACUAAUG
RNAcentral lists this transfer RNA (89 nucleotides) under Synechococcus phage S-PM2. Its description in RNAcentral is "tRNA-Ser". Lineage: Duplodnaviria; Heunggongvirae; Uroviricota; Caudoviricetes; Pantevenvirales; Kyanoviridae. The record is from RNAcentral.